UACGUAGGGUGCGAGCGUUGCCCGGAUUUAUUGGGCGUAAAGGGCGCGCAGGCGGUGCUGUGCGUCAGCGGUGAAAGCUCCCGGCUCAACUGGGAGAGGGCCGCUGAUACGGCAGCACUGGAGCAAGGUAGGGGGCAGUGGAAUUCCCGGUGUAGUGGUGGAAUGCGUAGAGAUCGGGAGGAACACCAGUGGCGAAGGCGGCUGCCUGGACCUGUGCUGACGCUGAGGCGCGAAAGCGUGGGGAGCGAUCCGGAUUAGAUACCCCAGUAGUCC
This 273-nucleotide ribosomal RNA is filed under the name uncultured bacterium. Its description in RNAcentral is "partial 16S ribosomal RNA". It matches the Rfam family "Bacterial small subunit ribosomal RNA", at positions 524 to 796 of the family's 1533-position model. The record is from RNAcentral.